GACGAACGCUGGCGGCGUGCCUAAUACAUGCAAGUUGAGCGCUGAAGGUUGGUACUUGUACCAACUGGAUGAGCAGCGAACGGGUGAGUAACGCGUGGGGAAUCUGCCUUUGAGCGGGGGACAACAUUUGGAAACGAAUGCUAAUACCGCAUAAAAACUUUAAACACAAGUUUUAAGUUUGAAAGAUGCAAUUGCAUCACUCAAAGAUGAUCCCGCGUUGUAUUAGCUAGUUGGUGAGGUAAAGGCUCACCAAGGCGAUGAUACAUAGCCGACCUGAGAGGGUGAUCGGCCACAUUGGGACUGAGACACGGCCCAAACUCCUACGGGAGGCAGCAGUAGGGAAUCUUCGGCAAUGGACGAAAGUCUGACCGAGCAACGCCGCGGGAGUGAAGAAGGUUUUCGGAUCGUGAAACUCUGUUGGUAGAGAAGAACGUUGGUGAGAGUGGAAAGCUCAUCAAGUGACGGUAACUACCCAGAAAGGGACGGCUAACUACGUG
Molecule: ribosomal RNA, 497 nt
Filed under: uncultured bacterium
Lineage: Bacteria
Description: partial 16S ribosomal RNA
Rfam family: Bacterial small subunit ribosomal RNA
Source: RNAcentral